CCGACGGUGAGGGGCGAAGGCUGGGGGCGCAAACCGGAUUAGAUACCCGGGUGGUCCCAGCAGUAAACGAUGCCAGCUAUGUGUUGCUGGAACCAUGGGUCCCAGCAGUGCCGAAGGGAAGCCGUGAAGCUGGCCACCUGGGAAGUACGGUCGCAAGGCUGAAACUUAAAGGAAUUGGCNGGGGGAGUACCACAACCGGUGGAGCCUGCGGUUUAAUUGGAUACAACGCCGGGAAUCUUACCGGAGGGGACAGCAGUAUGAAGGCCAGGCUAAAGACCUUGCCAGAUCAGCUGAGAGGAGGUGCAUGGCCGUCGCCAGUUCGUACCGUGAGGCAUCCUGUUUAGUCAGGCAACGAUCGAGACCCGCAGUCUUAUUUGCCAGCAUGCCCUUUGGGGUGUAUGGGUACAAUAAGACGACCGCCAGCGCUAAGCUGGAGGAAGGAGCGGGCUACGGUAGGUCAGCAUGCCCCGAAUCCUCCGGGAUACACGCGGGCUACAAUGGUCAGGACAAAAGGUACCGACCUCGAAAGAGUGAGGUAAUCCACAAACCUGAUCUCAGUCCGGAUCGAAGGCU
RNAcentral lists this ribosomal RNA (573 nucleotides) under uncultured archaeon. Its description in RNAcentral is "bacterial SSU rRNA". It matches the Rfam family "Archaeal small subunit ribosomal RNA", at positions 691 to 1262 of the family's 1478-position model. The record is from RNAcentral.